AUUGAACGCUGGCGGCAGGCCUAACACAUGCAAGUCGAACGGUAGCACAGAGAGCUUGCUCUCGGGUGACGAGUGGCGGACGGGUGAGUAAUGUCUGGGAAACUGCCCGAUGGAGGGGGAUAACUACUGGAAACGGUAGCUAAUACCGCAUAACGUCGCAAGACCAAAGUGGGGGACCUUCGGGCCUCACACCAUCGGAUGUGCCCAGAUGGGAUUAGCUAGUAGGUGGGGUAAUGGCUCACCUAGGCGACGAUCCCUAGCUGGUCUGAGAGGAGGAUCAGUCACACUGGAACGGAGACACGGGCCAGACUCCUACGGGAGGCAGCAUGGGGGAAUAUUGGGCAAUGGGCGCAAGGCUGAGCCGGCCAUGCCGCGUGUGUGAAGAAGGCCUUCGGGUUGUAAAGCACUUUAAGCGGGGAGGAAGGCCUGAUGGCUAAUAGCCAUCGGGAUUGACGUUACCCGCAGAAUAAGCACCGGCAAACUUCGUGCCAGCAGCCGCAGUAA
RNAcentral lists this ribosomal RNA (504 nucleotides) under uncultured bacterium. RNAcentral's name for it is "partial 16S ribosomal RNA". It matches the Rfam family "Bacterial small subunit ribosomal RNA", at positions 29 to 523 of the family's 1533-position model. The record is from RNAcentral.